GAGAAUUCAGUUAUUAAGAGCUGGGUUUCGCAGAAAAUGAUGGACGUGUUUGAUGACGAGGUUGAGGGUGAGGCUACUAUUUUGAUGAAAGAUUACCUGGAAGCUGUUGAAGAAGAGGAACUGAGAAGAAGGGUUGGAAUUGAAGAGUGUGUUCUUCCAAGAAGGGACGAAGAUCAAGAUGGAGAUGAGCGUGAAGGAAGCGUUGGAGAGGGCGAUGAGGACUUUGUCUGAGUGGAUAAGACGGGAAGUGAAUCGAAAUAUGUAAUGAUCAUAUAUACUUGAUACUUGGUUCAUUCGAAUGAUAAUGUAUGAAUAUUUUAGAUUAUAUAUAAUAUUGUUAUUGUCGAUUUUAUCA
Salvia miltiorrhiza (redroot sage) is the source of this 355-nucleotide long non-coding RNA. RefSeq lists it as uncharacterized. The record is from RefSeq and is a predicted model, not a curated record. NCBI's taxonomy places the organism in Eukaryota, Viridiplantae, Streptophyta, Magnoliopsida, Lamiales, Lamiaceae. The transcript has 2 exons.